Molecule: ribosomal RNA, 254 nt
Filed under: uncultured bacterium
Lineage: Bacteria
Description: partial 16S ribosomal RNA
Rfam family: Bacterial small subunit ribosomal RNA
Source: RNAcentral
UACGGGGGGAGCAAGCGUUGUUCGGAUUUACUGGGCGUAAAGGGCGCGUAGGCGGCGCAACAAGUCACUUGUGAAAUCUCCGGGCUUAACCCGGAAAGGUCAAGUGAUACUGUCGGACUAGAGUACAGAAGGGGCAACUGGAAUUCUCGGUGUAGCGGUGAAAUGCGUAGAUAUCGAGAGGAACACCUGCGGCGAAGGCGGGUUGCUGGGCUGAUACUGACGCUGACAGCGCGAAAGCUAGGGGAGCGAACGGG